GAUGAUGAUUAUGAUGGUGAUAAUAGUGUCAUUGAAGAUGAGAAUGUCGGAGAAGCAAAUUCAGCUAAGAAGGAAGGAGUGCCAUCUGCGUAUAGUACUGAAGCAAGAGUGUCUGUCACUGGGAGUGGUGAACCUGACAACUUGAAUCUUUUCAGUGGAGGUGUUUGGUAUUCAAAGAAGCUCUUAUGCAGAAUCAAUAGUAUCUGAAAUAAAUUUUAGCCCAAGAAACGUUAAAAGGUGAUUCAAGUCUCGCAUUGCCAUUGUUUGGAUUUAUAUAUUCGGUGGACAUUAGGGAUCGAAUACUGCUAAUGACAUUA
This 317-nucleotide unclassified non-coding RNA is filed under the name Hevea brasiliensis (rubber tree). Lineage: Eukaryota; Viridiplantae; Streptophyta; Magnoliopsida; Malpighiales; Euphorbiaceae. The record is from RNAcentral.